Molecule: ribosomal RNA, 319 nt
Filed under: Rhombophryne sp. 10 MV-2009
Lineage: Eukaryota; Metazoa; Chordata; Amphibia; Anura; Microhylidae
Description: partial 12S ribosomal RNA
Rfam family: Bacterial small subunit ribosomal RNA
Source: RNAcentral
AAACCCAAAGGACUUGACGGUGUCCCACCCACCUAGAGGAGCCUGUUCUAUAAUCGAUAACCCCCGAUACACCUCACCACCCCUAGCAUACACUCAGUCUGUAUACCUCCGUCGCAAGCUUACCCUAUGMAUGCCUCUAGUAAGCUAAAAGAUUCAACAUCAAUACGUCAGGUCAAGGUGCAACUAAUGGGACGGAAAGCAAUGGGCUACAAUUUCUACCAUAGAACACACGAAAAACUGCAUGAAACACAGUUAUGAAGGCGGAUUUAGCAGUAAAAAGAAAAUAGAGUGUUCUUUUUAACCAGGCCCUGGGACGCGU